GCAGACUUUAAUCUAAGUUGUGUUUUUUUUAUACUGUGUUAUUGCUGCAUUCACUUCAUUACCAAUCGCCGGGGUGGCAAUCAGCUCCGUGAAAAUGACCCAAAUUUGAUCUGAAAUAUCUGUAGUAUAAUUCACCAAACAUAGAUUGAAAGAUUCUGCUCUAAUUGGGUUUUGUAGCCUUUGGGUUUAAAGUUGGUGCUGCAAAACAAUCACAACUGCCGUACUGGGAAACAAGGAAUCGUCAAGGCCAGUGAUGUCCCUACAUGACUCACUGGAGAUCUCCGUCACACAUGACUAUCCAUCACAGUGAUAAUAACGGUGCCGAACCAACUGCACCUGCAGCUAACAGCACCGCAACAACAAAGACUGUGUGGAGACAAACGGGCCUAAAUAUUCAGUGUGUGGAGAUUUCGUGUCACGGAUGAACACUUUUUGCAGCUAACGUUUGUGUUUCCACACUUGGCGCUGAACGGAUUGACGGGGUUUAUGUGGAAGUAUUGCACCCUAGAGGCAGCCUGGUUUGGUGUUGGGCUUUUAAUGUGUUGCUGAGGGAUAAAGUUAACAUUUCAUACUGUGUCUGUUGUUUCCCUCGACCCACAGCUAUUUCGUUCAAGCAAGUCAGGAAAUAAUUGUUGCUUUUGUUUGUACGCGCACCAAAACUUUAGUAUUCAAUUGUAGUUAGUUAACAAAAACGAUGCUUCAAAAAAGUAAUGAUUUACUUUGCAGUUUUACAACUGCAUUAUGUUUGACUGUCUUUUGUGUGUUCGGUUCAUAUUCUCUGUUUGUACGUGGAAAAUAUUUUUUAAAACCAGACAAAUUCCGUGUAUUCGCACAUUUUGUUGUGUGCACUAAGAGUCGUCCAUAUGGUCACUAUGGGCUCUUUACAUCACGCUGCUGAGUUUGCUCGUUUCUUUGUCAAGUCUGAGCUGCUGCUGCUGCUAUCAUCAGCAGAAACAGACACGCACGCACGCACGCACACCGUGGUGUUUUUAUGGCUUUUGAGGAUAUUACCUUGAUUCUCAUUCAGGAGACUUACUCUAACAAUAACUGUUACCAGCCUAAUCCUAAAAGUUACCUAAAACAUCACCGUAAACAACCUCGACCCUGAUGUGUAAUGAUUCAUAUUAUGGGGACGUGAAUAGAUGCUGCACUCAAACACAUAAUAUCCCCCCAAAAAGAUAUAUAUUAUCAGGAAUGUUCUCAUAAAAGCAUUAUUGCUGUUUUAUUUUAGCUCUCUCACUCUGUUUUGUAGACUCAAUCGGAGAAUUCUAUCACACCCACAUGCACGCAGACUGAGCGUCUGGGUAAUGUGCUGACCCCAGUAAGCCACUCCUAAAUUUGUAUUGUCCUGCUAGAGGAGAGAGGAGGGAGGACGCACCAGCUGCUGUCUCUGUGUUUUGUGCGCUCUCUGAUUUUAAUGACUUUAAUGACA
Molecule: long non-coding RNA, 1432 nt
Organism: Gasterosteus aculeatus aculeatus (three-spined stickleback)
Lineage: Eukaryota; Metazoa; Chordata; Actinopteri; Perciformes; Gasterosteidae
Source: Ensembl